RNAcentral lists this ribosomal RNA (483 nucleotides) under Bifidobacterium longum subsp. suillum. RNAcentral's name for it is "bacterial SSU rRNA". It matches the Rfam family "Bacterial small subunit ribosomal RNA", at positions 201 to 699 of the family's 1533-position model. The record is from RNAcentral. Lineage: Bacteria; Bacillati; Actinomycetota; Actinomycetes; Bifidobacteriales; Bifidobacteriaceae.
GGAAAGCUUUCGCGGUAUGGGAUGGGGUCGCGUCCUAUCAGCUUGACGGCGGGGUAACGGCCCACCGUGGCUUCGACGGGUAGCCGGCCUGAGAGGGCGACCGGCCACAUUGGGACUGAGAUACGGCCCAGACUCCUACGGGAGGCAGCAGUGGGGAAUAUUGCACAAUGGGCGCAAGCCUGAUGCAGCGACGCCGCGUGAGGGAUGGAGGCCUUCGGGUUGUAAACCUCUUUUAUCGGGGAGCAAGCGAGAGUGAGUUUACCCGUUGAAUAAGCACCGGCUAACUACGUGCCAGCAGCCGCGGUAAUACGUAGGGUGCAAGCGUUAUCCGGAAUUAUUGGGCGUAAAGGGCUCGUAGGCGGUUCGUCGCGUCCGGUGUGAAAGUCCAUCGCUUAACGGUGGAUCCGCGCCGGGUACGGGCGGGCUUGAGUGCGGUAGGGGAGACUGGAAUUCCCGGUGUAACGGUGGAAUGUGUAGAUAUCG